UUACAAUGUUGCCACCGGAUUUGAAACGAAAAAAAAAUUAUAAAUUUGUGAAUUUCAAAAAAAAAAAAUUGAUAAAGUUAAAAAAAUAAUGUUUAAAAAGUUUAAUUACCUAAAUAAUUCUUUACGACGUUGCCACCUGAUUUUAAACGUAAAAAAUAAAUUUAAAAAAUUGUGUAUUUCAAAUUAAAAAUAAUUUUCACCUUGCAGCAACUUACAUUAUCGUGUUUUGUCUCUUUUUUUAAUGUUUUUAAAUUAUUUUUUUACGUUUUUACGGUAAAUAUUUUUAAAUACAGUUGGCAACUGCCGAAAAAAACUAAAAUUUGGCAAAAUAAUACAAAAUGUAUUUCAACCACAUACAACUAAAAGUAUAAUUGAGAUAACCUUCCGCCAGGUAUUUCUCUUCUGUUAAAUAUAUUUUUGAAUAGAGUUGCCACCUAUUGGAAAAUUUACAUCUGAUUAAAAUAGUACAAAAUGUGUCUUAAAGAUCAAAGUUUCAUAAAAAUCUUCUAAAAAGUAUAGUGUUCUUAUUAGAGGUUUUUCUUAACCAGAGUUGCCACCUAUAAAAAUACAAAUUUUAGCAAACAACGUUGUAAAACAUAAAUUUUUAUACAUAUAAAUUUUUAUCUCGAAGAACAAAUAAAAAUUUCCACUUGAUUGCUAUAAAGAUCAAAAUGAGUUGUGUACAUCCAUAUGUAUAUACAUAUUCAAAUUAAUUGAAAGCUAUGUGAUCUUUUAUUUUGCAAUAAAGAUGCCUUGGCUUUGCUGAUCUUAGACACACUUUGCGAUACAUAAAUCCAUCCACAACUCAGACAUAUAGCAGAUAAAGACAGACACACACACACGACAGUUCCCAUGUGUCUAUUUAUAUACGAGAGCAUGUGAAUGAUACAAUUCAAAUAAAUAUUAAAACUAGAUUGCGUAGAAAACUUUUCCUCCCGGCGCAUAUCAGUGAAAAGUAAUUUUUAUCGCACGUUGUCUGUUGUUUAUAUGCAUGAGUGUACACAAAUAUCAUAUGUCUCUCUAGGUUUAUUAAUUCAUUGGCUUGCACGUGCAUAUUGCUGCAAAAGGGUGGAGCGGCUCCCAUGAGAGAAAAUAAUUCAUUUUUAUACUACUAAUUGGUUUAGUUCAGCAAAUUAUAAAAAAAGAAGGAAAAAUAUAAUCUUUCCAGUAGUCCCAGUGGAUAUGAGUGUCGAAACGAUCUAUUUAUGACUGUUUAUCCCGUUUUAUUUAUUCCUGAAACCUCGCCCAACAAAAUUAAGGUAGUAAUUCGAGCAAAUAUAUGCUUUGUAUUUGGAAUUGUGAAACUAGACAAUUCAGUGUGGUAGAAAUAAUAUCUAAUAUAUUACUAUAGUUCUUCCUGAUCUUAAACUGUUAUAUACUAAGGUAUGCAUACUGGCGAUGGAGAUUAUUUUAAAAUAGAUAUUCGAGAUAAAAGAUGAGGCCCACCCAAUCUGAAUCAAAAUACCAGUUUUCGCUUUUCAUACUCCCACUUUAAUGAAAGUACCUUUUAAAAGCUUAAGCUGGAAGUUGUCAUAAAGUCUUAAGCGAAUUCGUAAAACAAGACUACAAGUAUAACGGAAUAUAAAAAAACUGAUAAAAGAAUCAAAUAGAAUAAUGCCAGUAUAAAACAGAAAACGAAUUCGCGAACAGAAAUGAUAACAAAAAGGUUGAAAAAAUAUGCAAAAAUCACAGAUGAUAUGACAUUUUCAUCGCGUCAAAUUAUAAAUAGUAAGCAAUCAGCUGUUAGGAUGGCAUCACGUUCUAUGAGAUCGCCUUAAUCAAAAAACAAGGCAAUAUUUGAAGAAAGCAAUUUCAAUACUUCACGCAAAUGAGCUAAAGGACUGAAGUAAAUUCAUGUAAAAUUGACACUUUCAUCUGACCUUGGAAUACUAUAAAGUGAUUAUCUCAAGCAAGUCGAAAAAUAUUGAAAAUUGAUCUCCGAAGUCAUAUGUCUAAGAAGAAGAUGUUCACAGAUCUUCACGGUAACUAUAUAAAUAAUUAAAAUUGUCGUUUCUUGGAAUCGGAAAGUUCGUACGUGAAAGAUGAGAAGCUAAUCUGUACUCAGAGCAAAAAGACAGUUUUCGGAGUGGUGACAUUGUAGACUUUUAAAGAGGUACCAUCCAAUAAUGUGUUAACCGCUCCAACGACAGUUGGGUUUUUAUCCUGUCAAAGACUGUUAACUCGACAGGAUUCUUAAAAAUUAGUUUGGGAAUGUUUCUUUAGCUACAACAACAACAAUAAUAAUCUAAGGUUUUGGAAAAAUCUUAAGUAAGAUUCGCAAUAUAACGCGAUCACCUGUUAAGUUCGACACAACAUCACUAAAAAUGGACUCAACUUCAAAAAAUAGAAACUGGUCGAGCUAUGUACGUAUACAUAUAUGUAUAUUUUGGUCUAUAUAUGAAUAUGGAGCAGUCUUAACAAAAGAUCACACUUACAUGGAACUGAAAAAACGCUUGAAAAACAAGUUGAGAAAUAUUGUAAACUAAGUGAUCUCCGAAGACAAUGUUGUAUAGUUCUAGAAAAAAAUUCUUCGAACCUUAGUGGCGAAAAGAGAGAGAGAGAGCAAAUAUUCCACAGCGUUUAUAUAAAAAAGUAAAACUGUGGGUUCUUGGAGCUCUAGAAAUCGGAUAACGUUUAUAUUCUACUCCAUGGCAUUGUAAAUAAGCUAGUGUAUACUGAGAAACAUCGUAAAGGCGGAUGUCGGCUGGAGCUUUCUUUUAAAUCAGAUUAAAUGUUAAUUGUUUUUUAAGACCAAGUUUGUGACAUUAGGGACUUGUAGCCGUUAGACAUAAGUUGUUAACCGUACCCACAGCAACUGGAUCUCAGAUGUUUACCGGCCAGAAAGUUUUAACUCGGCAGGAUUCUUCAAAAUUAGUUUGGGAAUGUUUUCUUCAGCUACAACGACAACAAUAAUAAUCUAAGGUUUUGGAAAAAUUGCUUAGCUGGAUGACUAUUGUAACUUAGUCGAGGCGCAUGAAGUUGUCUUCCACAAAUAACGGAAAUAUUUGCGCAAUCGAAGUAUCAAAGUAACAAAAAACUUUUUCCUAAGUGGUUAGGUGGGUUUCAAAAUUUAAAAAAAAAAGUGUGUGCAAUAUGUUUAAAACGUUAUAUUUGAAAAAAACAUUAUCUAAGAAGUAGCAUUUUUUUAUUUUAAUUACAACUAUUUUUUUCGAGCCAAUAUAUGUCGAAAAUUUUACCAAAAAAGUGAGUUUUUUUUUGGUUUAAAUUCUGUCGAAAAUUCAAAUUUCAAUAUUUUUUUAUUUCCUUCGUUCAUUAACUGGAUUUACCCAUGUGCUAUCGAAAUAUUUUUGGUUUAUUGUUUUUAGUUGAACCAAUCAUUAGUUAUGAUGUCAAGGUGAGAGCUUUUUUUUGGACACGUCAUGGGAGAUGUGGUGCCAACGGCUGAGUUUUUGGAAUUUUUAUAUAAAAAUACUGUUAAAUAUGUAUUUUUGAAACGCUGAAUUGUUUAAAUUUAUUGCAUAUAUUAAAAAAAAAAUAUAUAAAAAUACCCUUGUUUUUAGCCUCUAAAACCCACCUAACCCCUUAAACAAAUUUAUGUGAAGUUCAUAUUAGCGAAUUCCUACGCUAUUGAAAUUUAUGCUUAUAUUUAUUAUGCACAAAUAAUAUUUAUAUCCGUUCUCGAGACUAUUAAAAUUUAUAUUAAUUGUUUAUGUGACUCCAGAGUCAUGUCUACAACAUUUUUUACGAGCAAUUUCUCAUAUGUAUUCUAUAUAGAUAGCCGCCCAAACUAUUUAAUGGGUGUGUAUACAUACUUAUGUCUCGCCGCAUGCAUGUACUACUUAUGAGCCUGCAUGUUUACAUAAAAAGUCAUGUUUCAACACAUGUAACUAUACUCGUAUGUAUGUAUAUGAAAGUCUAUAUGUCUGCAAGUAGAUAUGUCUGUAUGUCUUUGUGUGAACGCUCCAGCAUGACACAUCAAAUAUUUGCGUUUAAUUUAUAACGGUAUGUAUAUUAAUUAAUUUAAACACAUUCAACAAAAAGGGCAAUGCGAUUGUGUUACCCAGACGCUAAUUACUUUUACUUGAGACGAACAAAUAUUGCUUGUCGGUAUGUAUGUAUGUAUGUGCCUGAGCGCUGAGCUGGCAUCGCUGGACGCCCCGUCGAAAAGCUAAGCAUUGGAAAAAUAAUGGAAAAAUUCACUUUGUACAACACGAAACGCUUGUAAAUGACCAAAAGUGAAAAAAGUGAAAUUGAGCGCAGGCGCACACCAGAGGCGCAGCGCCGCCUGAUCGCGUUUAAUGCGCCAACUUUGACAGCAUCGCGCGCAGGCAACAUAUUUACGAUGUAUGUAUGUAUUUGAGAUACAUAAAAUAUUAGUUUUGUGUUGUUGUUGUUGUUGUGCUGUUGCAGGCCGGCUAAACAACUUUUACUGCCGCAAAUCAACAUUAACUUGUUGCAGCUGGCUAAUGACCAAAUGUCAAGGCGACGCGUCGCGACGUCGGCGGGGCAACAGCCGUACCACCGCAUACAUAUGUAUGUAUAUACACUUGUGUGUGUGCGCCGCGUCGCUGCUCGCAUACCAAAGCACAUCAGUUAGUUACCAGUUACCUGCAUUAGAUUGUUGCAUCGGCUCUAUGUUGGCCUGCAAGCCACCGGUUUCUUGUUUCGGCUGCUGCUGCUGCUGCUCUUGCUCUUGCUCCUUAUUUACCGUUGCAGUCGGCGCUGUUACAGUAUUACCAUUCGUUGUGGCUUCAACCGAUUGCUCCGCCACUGGCUUGACGGCCACUACGACAACGGCGGUGGGCGCAACGGCGACGGGGGUGGCGCUGUCCACAUUAUCGCUGGCAACAGCAACAACAUUUUCCACUUUGUUGCCGAUUUCAAUAUCUUUAUCGUUUUCGGACGGCAUGAUUUCUAUAUAUACUACUGCUACUUAAUUUGUUUUUGUUGUUUUAUUUUUUUUAUUGUUAUUGUUGUGGUUUGUGCAAAUUGAGUUUUUUUAUUUUCUGUGAUUUUUGAAAUAUUUUCGCUGCAAUCUUUUGUGCAACGAACGGUUUUUGCUUUGUGUGUCGCACGCAAUUCUGCAAUGCACACGGUUAGCCAACAACAACAAACACUAUAUGUUGU
This is a long non-coding RNA of Zeugodacus cucurbitae (melon fly), 5088 nucleotides long. RefSeq lists it as uncharacterized. The transcript is spliced from 2 exons. NCBI's taxonomy places the organism in Eukaryota, Metazoa, Arthropoda, Insecta, Diptera, Tephritidae. The record is from RefSeq and is a predicted model, not a curated record.